RNAcentral lists this long non-coding RNA (560 nucleotides) under Heterocephalus glaber (naked mole-rat). RNAcentral's name for it is "lncRNA (ENSHGLG00100038093.1)". Lineage: Eukaryota; Metazoa; Chordata; Mammalia; Rodentia; Bathyergidae. The record is from RNAcentral.
GGAAGGAGGGGAGGUCGGUGGCUGGGCCCGCCUGCCCGAGAGUGGGGGGCAGGAGCACAAAGCAUUGCCUUUGCACAGGACGGCAACGUCCACUUUCAGGACCUUGUGCAGCACGUGGCAGAACUUCCAGCUGAGGAUGGAGCUGCUGGGCAGCGGCAGGCCAAUGGCGUAGGACCAGAAGGAGGCCCUGUUCCUGGUCCUGACCCAGCUUCCGCCCCGCUCAGGAGGAUGUGGCCACAGGGACCCUCGCGCCCCACUGAGCCUAAACACAGACCGACCCGGCUCCCACCUCUCACAGAGCCACCUGUCCCGUGUCUGCCGAGCCCACGCUGCGUGACACCCCAGGUCCCAGCAGCCCCAGAAGACCAAACCUGCAGCGGGAGAUCUUCCACCAUAGGCGUAUGGCCACCCCAGGCCAGUCUCGGGGCGGCGCCCCAGAAAUGGAUAUGAUGCCCGCCUUUCAGUACUGAGGAAUGAAUUCAGGGCCUUUCCACCGAGCCACUUCCUCAGCCAUUUUUUAUUUUGAGACAGGGUCUCACUAAGUCGCUGUUAAAUUGCUC